AUCAAAGUGGACUCAGAUGAGUAGGAGGGCGUGGCGGUCGUAUGGAAGCGCUCGUGCGAACGGGCGUGAAACGGCCGCUAGUGCAGAUCUUGGUGGUAGUAGCAAAUAUUCAAGUGAGAUCCUUGAAGGACGAAGCGGGGAAGGGUUCCACGCGAACAUUGAUUGAGCGUGGGUGAGUCGUUCCUAAGCCGAGUGGUUAUUGCUAAUUACCGGCGAAAGGGAAGCAGGUUGACAUUCCUGCACACGGAUGUGGAGGCGGUGACGCCGUAUGUGAGGUGAUGACGUUGCCUGUGGCUCUGGGCAGAGUUUUCUUUUCUGUUUAACCGUCAAUGUGCGCUGUGUGGAAUCCGCUUGUCGGGAGAAACACGCGUGCACGGGCAUAGCGCCGGGGCUUUUCCGGCGUCCAGAUCGCCACAGACGACCCUUGAAAAAUCACCCGCUGAUACAUGAUCCACGCCGUGGCGUACCGAUUACCGCAUCAGGUCCCCAAGGUGAACAGCCUCUGUUCGAUAUGAAAAAUGCAGGUAAGGGAAGUCGGCAAAUUAGACCCGUAACUUUGGGAAAAGGGUUGGCUCUAGUGCUGCGUGGGAGUGGUUGUCGUAUCUCUGGGUGCGUCAGCUAGGCUCUUUGUUGCAGAUUUGUGGGGAUGUGUAAGUUUACUUGCUAUUUCCUACGUUUUUGUGACAUUGGGCUUGGUAGACGUAUCUGAGUGCGACGACGCCCACAGCAUGCAGCAGACUAGAACUGCAACGGGCAAAGGGAA
Molecule: ribosomal RNA, 763 nt
Filed under: Herpochondria elegans
Lineage: Eukaryota; Rhodophyta; Florideophyceae; Ceramiales; Ceramiaceae
Description: LSU rRNA
Rfam family: Eukaryotic large subunit ribosomal RNA
Source: RNAcentral